CCUACGGGAGGCAGCAGUGGGGAAUAUUGGGCAAUGGGCGUAAGCCUGACCCAGCAACGCCGCGUGAAGGAAGAAGGCUUUCUGGUUGUAAACUUCUUUUCUCAGGGACGAAGCAAGUGACGGUACCUGAGGAAUAAGCCACGGCUAACUACGUGCCAUCAGCCGCGGUAAUACGUAGGGGGCAAGAGUUAUCCGGAUUUACUGGGUGUAAAGGGCGUGUAGGCGGGAAAGCAAGUCAGGUGUGAAAACCAUGGGCUCAACCUGUGGCCUGCAUUUGAAACUGUUGUUCUUGAGUAGUGGAGAGGUAGACGGAAUGCGUGGUGUAGCGGUGAAAUGCGUAGAGAUUAGGAAGAACACCGGUGGCGAAGGCGGUAUGCUGGACAGCAACUGACGCUGAGGCGCGAAAGCGUGGGGAGCAAACAGGAUUAGAUACCCGUGUAGUC
RNAcentral lists this ribosomal RNA (443 nucleotides) under uncultured bacterium. RNAcentral describes it as "partial 16S ribosomal RNA". It matches the Rfam family "Bacterial small subunit ribosomal RNA", at positions 338 to 795 of the family's 1533-position model. The record is from RNAcentral.